ACCAAGAGUCAAACGCUUAACCAACUGAGCCGUGCAGGCGCCCCUUUAUUUCCUAAACAGAAAGGGAUUUGAAUUUCUGAAACCCCAAUAAUGGUGAUCUUAGAGAAGAUCCAUCACUACCUUCCAUUACUGAGCCUCUCAGGCCUCAUUCCACUUCCAGUCCGGCUGGGUGCUCAGACUCCAGAUCGUCCCUCUCCUCCUCACCUCCACCCCCAUUCCUACCAGAGCCAAAUCUCAGGGGUUCCCCAACAGCCCAUCCUGAAGACCUCCUCGCCCUGCCUCCACCUCCUCCAAUGCAUCCAGCCUACUGUUGUACCAUUGUCUUCCUCUGGGUGCAACUUCCUAACAGUGCUCUUCCAAAACUUGAGCAGCAGAAGAGUUCCUAGACACCAUGGCCCAAAUUCAGCCUGGCAUUGAAUCUGGAAGAAGCAUUUACAGGAGGUGUACUAGGUCACACAGCUGGUAGCUUUCUGCCUCUGUUGUUGUUAUAAAGGAAAGCAGAAGUCUGUACCAAGGUAUGAUGGAUCAUAAUAUACUAUUCACACAUGCAGUUUCGUGAGAAAUCUAGGCUGGAACUUGCUUUGUUCAUCCUUAUCUCCCUCCCUUGCUUAAUUAAACCGUCAUCAUGCCCAGAAUCCCCCCACCGCCAGCUUGCAUGUCCUACAGCAUUGUGCCAGCUGGUGCCAAAUUGUGGUCCUUUCCACAGUCCAGCUCAGGCCUCCCUCUAGACUCAGUCCUCCCUCUCAACCCUCAAAGGACACAUCAUCAGAUGUUGCCUUGAAGAGUCACUGGACUCAUGUCUUGACAUGCCAGAAAGUUCAAAGGCAUCCGGACAGGGGCCAGCCCAGCACUUUUCCUGCUCCCACUUACACGGAAGUGCAUUGCUGUUACUCAGAGAAAAAAAAAAUUUAACACUGAUUAAAAUGUUUUGUGUGUAUUUGUUUUUUUCCCAGCUUUAGUGUAAUUGACAAAUACAAUUGUAGGAUACACAAAGUGUGUAUAGUGGUGAUGUAUAUAUGCAUGGUGAAAGGAUUCCUCCCAUCUAGUUAGUUAAUGCAUCCAUCACCAAUACUGACUUUUCUUUUUUAAGACUUUUAUUUUAAGUAAUCUUUACACCCAAUGUAGGGCUUGAACCUGCAACCCCAAGAUCGAGACUCACACACUACCAACUGAGCCAGCCAGGCACCCUAACCGAUGCUGACUUUUAAAAAGACUGUGGGAAUUCAAUCUUUUCAUAUCUUAUGUUGUCAUGAAGAAGAGUUACAAGGUUGACCACUGUGACCAGAAUUAGACUUCAUAAAAUUGAAUUCUGAAACAACUGGAUGCUGGAAUUAAUAGAGAAGGGACUUCCUUGGCUUGGUUCUCUGCCAGUUUCCUGCGGGGUUGUUGAAAAGGUUAAAUGCAAGCACACUCACCAGGACGGGCUACUUACUUUGCAGAAACCAGUACAAAAUGAAAAUACAGGGGCCUGUGUUCCAAAAUCGUUAAGAAGUCCAAGGCUGGAACAGCCAAACAUUCAACCAAGCACGGGACCCUGCUGAGCAUAGGGCCUGUACAAGCUCACAGGCUGCGCGCCCCGGAAGCCGGCCUUGGAAGGAGCACAGCGUCUGCACACAGCAGGUGCUACAUAAACCCUCUUCACCUUUGUGUCAGCAUCCUCCUACACCUCCGGCGCGCCAGCGCCGUAACGUUGACCAUACCACUGACCACUCGUUGUCACUUGUGCCUGCCCGGCAGAAGGACAAGACCUGGAAUCACGCCCGUGGGGCAGCCCCACGGCGAAGACCCGGGACCCCCAGCCUUUUGGCGAGUGUCUGCCGCUCAACCAAGCCUAGGCCAGACGGGGCCGCCAGGGCCUCCGAGGCCGCCGCAGGACGCAGUCCGCAGGAUCUGGGUCUGUCCCGCGGCCC
This is a long non-coding RNA of Herpailurus yagouaroundi (jaguarundi), 1910 nucleotides long. RefSeq lists it as uncharacterized. The transcript has 4 exons. The record is from RefSeq and is a predicted model, not a curated record. Lineage: Eukaryota; Metazoa; Chordata; Mammalia; Carnivora; Felidae.